UUUUUAAAUAAAUUUUCUUCCAACAAGCACAUUUGCCAAUAGAACUAAACAUUCGUACAGGUCUUAAACGCAUCUCAAGAAAUGUAUCAAAAGUCACUUGCAGCAGGAGCACGCAGAAACAGGAGCCAGGUCAAGAAACAAGUCUUGUAAUCGGAGAUAACAGCAUUUUUUCCGAAAUCUUGGGAAACAUCAUAGAAGAUAAUGAUCAGCAAAACAAAGGAAGGAUGAGGGAAGGAAAGGAACUUGAUGCAGUGACCCUAAGAUCUCCAAGUGAGAACCAAGGAGAACCAUCAAAGCAGUCUAAGCAGGCAGGAAAAACUGGCAAAGAUCAGGAUGUGAAUAGACCAGCUAUUGAACCUACAUCUCAUCGACGGCUUUGGAGUAAGGCCGAAAAGGCAGCAGUAUGGCAACAGCUUUGCCAAUAUGUAACCUUAGAGAGUUCCUGGUAAAGAACCAUGUCUUGAAGCACUUAAAGUUGAGCCUGCACUGAGAAGCCAAACUUGGA
Long non-coding RNA from Fundulus heteroclitus (mummichog), 505 nucleotides. RefSeq lists it as uncharacterized. NCBI's taxonomy places the organism in Eukaryota, Metazoa, Chordata, Actinopteri, Cyprinodontiformes, Fundulidae. The record is from RefSeq and is a predicted model, not a curated record. The transcript has 4 exons.